GAUGAAGAACGCAGCGAAAUGCGAUACUUGGUGUGAAUUGCAGAAUCCCGUGAACCAUCGAGUCUUUGAACGCAAGUUGCGCCUCAAGCCAUUAGGUUGAGGGCACGUCUGCCUGGGCGUCACAUAUCGUUGCCUGAUGCCAGUUUCCUCGUGAUGGGUGACUGUGCAGGGCGAAUGAUGGCUUCCCGUGAGCAUUGUUGCCUCAUGGUUGGUUGAAAAUUGAGUCCUUGGUAGGGAGCGCCGUGAUAGAUGGUGGUUGAGUGACGAACGAGACCCAAUCAUGUGAGACCCCUACCGAAUUUGGCCUUCAUGACCCACAUGCGUCUUUGGAACGCGCAUGACGAGACCUCAGGUCAGGCGGGGCUACCCGCUGAGUUUAAGCAUAUCAAUAAGCGGAGGA
This 400-nucleotide unclassified non-coding RNA is filed under the name soil metagenome. Its description in RNAcentral is "partial contains 5.8S ribosomal RNA, internal transcribed spacer 2, and large subunit ribosomal RNA". The stretch from base 1 to 122 matches the Rfam family "5.8S ribosomal RNA", at positions 35 to 154 of the family's 154-position model. The record is from RNAcentral.